Felis catus (domestic cat) is the source of this 2385-nucleotide long non-coding RNA. RefSeq lists it as uncharacterized. NCBI's taxonomy places the organism in Eukaryota, Metazoa, Chordata, Mammalia, Carnivora, Felidae. The transcript is spliced from 4 exons. The record is from RefSeq and is a predicted model, not a curated record.
UAGUCCUUGGAGUUCAUUGAUAUUAUUGAUUUAUUGAUGUUCUUAGUUUUCAAUCAUCAGUUUUAUGUUUUUCCAUGAAGUUUCGAGUUGAGGUUUUGGUGUAAAAAGUUCACUUUUCUUCAAGGUAGUUGGUAUACAAAGAAUUAUUCUUUAUAAUUUUAGUUUCCCUGAGGCUCUCUCUCUGCAAGGCCAGACUCCAAUCAAGAGUCUAUUAAAGUCAAAUACCUACAAAAUAGAAAGCAAUAGUUACUUGUUCUCAAUAUAAAUCUUGUCCCUCUUUGCUGAAUUAAGAGUUCCUUUUAGAUUGGUUUAGGAAAACCAAUUAAAAAAUCCCCCAAUAUUUGCAUUUAAAAAAAGAAAAUACACCAUAAAGAACUAAUGAUUGAUACAUUGUAAGGGUGAUAUACUUUUAAGCACACAGUUUUUCCAAUUAAAACUUGCCAAGAGGAACAAAUUAUCAACUCUUGUUUUGAUACAAUGGGAGAUAUAAUUGUAUACUCAUAUUUUUCAGUCCAAUUUGCAUUUGAUUAAACUUUUCAUUUUGAUUUUCAACACAUAAGAGCUGAUAAGAAAGAUAUAUCCAUGUGAAUAGUAAAUGUUGUAAGAAAUAAAAAAAAAUUGCCUUGGAAGUAGGCUUCCUAGAGUAUGUUGCUCUUUCAAUGGUAAAAAGUAAAUCAGAAGAUGAAAAAUGUUAACUAUGUCCAGAGAGUGUAAAAUAGAGAUGAGCGUGGAAGUAUUUACAUGUGGCCACAACAUGGGACAUGAAAUGAAUGUUUGGUUUAUUUUUCCCACUUCCAUCAUCCAUGGCCUGUGUAGGAACGUGUGAGGAUGUUCUAUAUUAGCAUAUUAUAUCAGGACACUAUAUCAGAAUAGGCAAAGUUGAGGGGAGCCCUACACAAGUGUCAAUCAUUGUCUCCUACUCUAUUCCUAGGUGGGAAGAAACAGAGCCAAUUGUUUUGCUUUGCCAUGAAAAUAAUUAAAUGAAAAGCUUCUUAUUGAAAGAGAGGUAGAAAAGAGUUGAAAAAGAAAGUAGAUAGGAGACAUGUGAGAAAUAUUAGGUCAAUCCACAAAAUUAGGAAUGCACCUAAUAAUCACUUCUGUAACAUAAGAUGAUUCUUGAUACUAUGAGACUGGCCACUUCCCACUUGUAGUCGGCUAUAUGGCAAACCCUAUGAUAAAUCCAGAAUUCUUUUUUUUUUUUUUUUUAUCAAGGGGAGUACUACGAUGGCAAGGUGGUUGAUCUAAUGGUUAGCUUAGAGUAGAUACAGAAGUUAUCUAGGUUCAUGAAGAUGCUAGCCUUCUGCUAGCUUGACAGCAGCUGCCAGUCAAGAUCUCCUAAGCCUCACUCACAUGUCAUAUUACAGAGGAAUCACUGAAUGUCCUGGGCAAUGAAUGAGAGCAAGUGAGAUAGCAGAGACUGAGCUUCUGGGCACCACCUAUGCAUAGCUGAGAUUUGAUGGAAACAUUAGUAGAGAAAGCCAGCGAAGAACCCCAAGACCAGGUGUGGAUCUCCUAUCACCAUGGGCUUGUUUCUUGUUUAUGGAUGAAAAGAAGAGAAAAAAGAAGAGAAGAUGUCUUAUGACACCACCCUUGGUGCUGGAGAUUUAGCAACAAACAAAACGGAUGAAAAUGUCUGUCCUUAUGAAGCCUGUAUUCUAAAAGGAAAUUUGAAAAUAUGUGCUGGAAGACAAUGGUCCGUGAAUAUUUUUACAUUGAUCGUGAUUUACUGAACAAGGAUUACUGAUAACCAAGGUUAAAGGUACUCUUGAAAGACAAACAUGCAUUGGACAUUAGAAACUGUCUAUUUCUCUGGGGCGAUUUAAAAUCUCUUUCCUGAGGGACUUUCUUCAGAUUGCAAAGAGAUGAAGUAAAGGCACAAAUUUUCUUAUUUUUCUAGAGAUGAUUUGUUUAGAUUCCAAAAACAGAGGCCUUUCUUCCUCUCUUCUCUCUCUCAAUCUCACCAGAGCUAGGUGGGCCAGAUGUCUUAUCCUCCCUGUACAAAUUGCUAGAGUUUGGAGGUUUUUUUUCUUGUGGUGCAAUUCUACUGCACAUGCAGGUUAGAGCAGGCCCUGUCCUUUGAAUCAUUCUUUGGGGAACUGGGGUGUGGAGAACUGGUAUUUCGAUGCUAUUCUGACUGGUGCAAUUGCCAUGAAUAAUAAAAGAUUCAAUCUCUCACCUGGAGAUCUGCAGGCAGACUAACAUUUAAGUGGAUAAAAUCUCAGACCUUCACAAUUUCAGGUGCAAUAAUAUGCUCAAUGUGAGUCAUUUGUUCAUUAUUUGUUCUGGAUACCCUCAGUCUAGAAAGCUGUUCUCUUUAGCCUGAGUUACUUCCUUGUAUAGGCUUUUGAUGACUCUCUUUCCUCCAUUUUCUCUGUUCUCUCCUUC